UACGUAGGGUGCGAGCGUUGUCCGGAAUUACUGGGCGUAAAGAGUUCGUAGGUGGUUUGUCACGUCGUCUGUGAAAUUCCGGGGCUUAACCUCGGGCGUGCAGGCGAUACGGGCAAUACUUGAGUGCUGUAGGGGAGACUGGAAUUCCUGGUGUAGCGGUGAAAUGCGCAGAUAUCAGGAGGAACACCAAUGGCGAAGGCAGGUCUCUGGGCAGUUACUGACGCUGAGGAGCGAAAGCAUGGGUAGCGAACAGGAUUAGAUA
RNAcentral lists this ribosomal RNA (262 nucleotides) under uncultured prokaryote. RNAcentral describes it as "partial 16S ribosomal RNA". It matches the Rfam family "Bacterial small subunit ribosomal RNA", at positions 524 to 784 of the family's 1533-position model. The record is from RNAcentral.